AUUGAACGCUGGCGGCAUGCCUUACACAUGCAAGUCGAACGGCAGCACGGGAGCAACCCUGGUGGCGAGUGGCGAACGGGUGAGUAAAGUAUCGGAACGUGCCCAGUCGUGGGGGAUAACGUAGCGAAAGUUACGCUAAUACCGCAUACGAUCUAUGGAUGAAAGCGGGGGAUCGCAAGCCCUCGCGCGAUUGGAGCGGCCGAUAUCAGAUUAGGUAGUUGGUGGGGUAAAGGCUAACCAAGCCGACGAUCUGUAGCUGGUCUGAGAGGACGACCAGCCACACUGGGACUGAGACACGGCCCAGACUCCUACGGGAGGCAGCAGUGGGGAAUUUUGGACAAUGGGCGAAAGCCUGAUCCAGCCAUGCCGCGUGCAGGAUGAAGGCCUUCGGGUUGUAAACUGCUUUUGUACGGAACGAAAAGGUUUGGGCUAAUAAGCUGAGCUCAUGACGGUACCGUAAGAAUAAGCACCGGCUAACUACGUGCCAGCAGCCGCGGUAA
This 500-nucleotide ribosomal RNA is filed under the name uncultured bacterium. RNAcentral's name for it is "partial 16S ribosomal RNA". It matches the Rfam family "Bacterial small subunit ribosomal RNA", at positions 30 to 523 of the family's 1533-position model. The record is from RNAcentral.